UCUCCUUAUUGGUCAUCCUCAACAUCGCCUUGUCUGUUCCAACCCCACUUUCGAUCUCUUGGUGAAGUGUUUUUGCGGCGUCAAGGAGAGCUUUCACAAUCGCCCCAUGGCCUUCUCUCGCAGCAAGGUGAAGUGGAGUGUCGCCUUUCCGAUUGGGCUGCUGCAGUAGAGGUGAACAUGAAUGAAAGUGAAGGAUCCACUCAACGGAUGCCAGCUGACCGAACUGGGCUGCAAUGUGGAGGACAGUGUUCCUUUUUGGGGUUUGUUGGAGUUGAAGAUGAGCUUCUGAGUACUUUCUCUCGAGGAUUCUGAUAUCACUUUCAUACAAAGCCUCGUACAAAUCAGCAUUCAUGUGGGUGAUCUCAGUUUGGCCAUCAGCUGCAAUCUGGUUCGACAUCUUAGUUUGGCUUGAAAAGGUUUCCAAGUUAAGGUUCUGCGAUUCUGUAAUUUAGUUGGAGCUGGACUGAUUCACUAUUGGCGUUGGAGGAGCAAAGUAAUAAUCAACUCUUCAGAUUCUAAAUAUUUAUAUAAUUAGGAGUGAAUCACUACAAUUUUACUAAACCCAAAUUUAUUUUUAACUUUUUCUUAUUUUUCCUUUUUCCUUGCACUCCAUCCUAUUUAGCGAUUAUUUAAGCUGCUUUUACCACCAACAACAAUUCUGGUGGUUUAAAACAAUUUCAACCAUAUUAUCAGCCAUUUUAUGAGGUCAUCUUCCAAAAUAACACAAAAUAACAAUUCUGGUGGCAAUUUGUGCUCAUGGGUUGUGUUUGUAUUAUAUUAAAACUUACUCAACAUAAAUAAUAAUAGUGUUAAAAACAUAAAUCAAAAUAUUAUUUAUUUAUUAAAUAGAUAACACAUCAUGUAACCCAUUAAUUUCUUUAGUAAUUAAGUCUUUCUAUUUAAUAAUUAAAUUGAGUUAAGUAUUGUAUAUAUUUAUAUAAUUAAUUUUUCAAUCAAAUAUAUUUAUAACUUAAUUCAUCUGUUUAUUUAAAAACAAAUUAAUUUAAAAUAAGUUGAAGAUUAGUUAAAUAGUUUAAAGUUAUAAUUAAGUUAAUUAGUGAAAUUAUUAAAUCAAUCCAUUUGAAUCAAAUUUGUAUUAUACAUAUUGAUAUAAAAUCUAGAUAUCUAUAAAAUGUGUAAUACAGGCUAACAUAAAUUUGAUCCAAACUCAAUUAUACUCAAAUUUGUAAAAAGCAUGUUAAGUUUGAGUCGUGUUCACGUAUUGUAUCAAACUUUGUCAUUCCUACAAAAUACAAUGUUAAAGCCCAAACAAUUAAUAAUCACACAUGCUAAAGAGAGGAAAAUCUAAGGGUUAACCAUUUUCAUGAUUGCAAGAUAUUUUUUCUUGGGAAAAAAUGUGCUUCCAUACUCAUAUUUAAGAAUAUCACAAGAUGAAAAUCCAUUAAAAGUAAUUCAAGUUUUAGGCAAUCUAAAGUCAAAAUAGCAUUUAGGGUAGUCAAAGGCAUUACUAACAUUACUAAAAAUAGUAUCUAUUUGCUAAAAAAUAUGUAAAAUCUGAAUUAUUUUUAGAUAAAUGUAUUCAAUUUGAAAAUUUUAAAUUGGGGUUGUUAUUUGAUUUUUUUUCAAAUGUAUGUUUGAAAACACAAUUUAAUUUCCCUGUUUUUCUUUAUAAAGCAUAGUACCAAGGAUGACUGUUAGGCGCCACGAGAAGUUCAUGUUUUUUUUGUCUAUAGUCUAUUUAGUGAAUUUUUUCUUGUUUCUUUUUCUUUUUGUGGGGACGGAGUGUAGUAUUUUUCUAUUAUUAAAUUUUCUCUCUUUUUCUUUCCCUUUUGGUGGGGGAUGAAAUAUAAUAUUUUUCUCUCUUUUAAUUAUUCCUUUUCCUUCCCUUUUGGUGGGGGAUGAGAUAUAAUAUUUGUUCAUUAUUAAAUUUUUUUUCUUUUUCUUUUAUUGGGACAAGUGGAAUAUUUGGUUGUUAGAAUUUUCUCUUUUAAUUAUUCUUUUUCAUUCUCUUUUGGUGGGGGACGAAGCUUAAUAUUUGUACAUUAUUAAAUUAUUAUUAUUAUUUUUUUAAGGACAAAUGGAAUAUUUGUUUGUUAGAAUUUUCUCUUUUAAUUAUUCUUUUUCUUUCACUUUUGGUGGGGAUGAAGAAUAAUAUUUUUUGAAUUUUUUCUUUUUCUUUUUUUUUCUUAGGGACGAAGUGAAAUAUUUGUUUAUUAUUAAAGUUUCUCUUUUAAUUUUUCUUUUUCUUUCACCUCUUUCAAUUUUUCUUUUUCUUUUUCUUUUUGUAGGGGAUGAAGCGUAAUAUUUGUCUAUUACUAAAUUUACUCUUUUUCUUUCUCUUUUUUUGUGAACGAAAUGGAAUAUUUGUCGGUUUUUGAAUUUUCUCUGUUAAUUAUUAUUUUUUGUUUUCUUUUUGUGGGGGCUGAAAAAGAUCAAGAUAUGGAGGAUUUUGGAGGAGAGGGAGUGAAACUCCAUCAGCAGUGAGAAUGGAGGAUCGGAUUAUAGGGAUACGUGAAGGUUCUUGGUCUUAUCUUGCUGGUACCAUUGGUAGAGUUCCUGAGAAAGUGAUAGGAACAGCAACACCAAAAGAACCCCCAGACCAUCAAAUAUCCGCCUGGUGUUUUUCCAUUGGAGAUGAACUGAUUAUACAUUGGGAAUUAUCAUCAUCAAAUGCAGCACCACCGGCACCAGCAAAUGAAGUCUCUUUGCACCCCGGGCCCACUUCUGCACCCAUGCAUGGCCACCUUUGGCAUGCAAUCCCAACGGCCACAUGUCAUCCUCCCAUUUCUUCAUCUUUUGCUUUCAAAAUUUGAUUUUCAAAACUCUAGUUUUUAAAUAAUUUUAAAAAAUUCAACUUUCAAAUAAUCUUAAUCAAGUACCCUUUUAUAUUUAUUUUAUUUUAUUAUUAUUUUUAUUUAUUUAUUUAUUUCCUUAGAAAUUUCAAGUCAUUCCAAAAACCCAAUUUUAAUAAACUUUUUGCUGUCAUAUUUCUCUUCCGGUAUACAUUUUCAUAUUUUCUUCAAAUUUCAAUUUUUUUUAUUGAUUUUCCUCAAUUUUUAAUAAAGCAUGAAUAAAUUCUAUAAUUUCAAGCAAUAGAAUUUAUGGAGUUAAUUCAUGCUAAAAUAAAUCGGGUUGGUGGGGCCUGACAUCUGUAAUUGAUUGCUUGAUUGACUUUGCCCUACUCUGACAUGCAUGAGAUUAUUUAGUAUUUGUGCACUAACCUUGUAUCCUAUGAUAGCACUCAACUUGCGACUAAGAUACGCCUUGUACCCGAUCAUAUUUAUUUAUUUAUCCAUUAUCAUGCAUGACUUGUUUUAUUAUUUGAUUAUUAUUUGGUAUCCACGAUUUCCUGAUCAAUUGUCAUGUUACCCUAACUGAUUAGUAGAGACUCUUUUUUAGGGGUUUAGAGUGGUGUACGCCUUUAUCACCGUACCUUCUCGAUAUAUAACCUAACUCCAGAUCCAAACUUGGUUUUUCGCAAACUUGUAUGUCCUUUAGGAGUCACAUUUGAAUUUUUUUUUUUUUUCUUAUUUUGUUCUUCCCUUUAAAAAUAAAACAAAAAUAAGAGGUCACUCCAAUUUUUAUUUAAAAAAAAAAAAUCAAAUUUCUAAUAAAAAUUGAGUCUCGCCAGUUGAGUGGGAACGCAUGCGAGAAAGAUGGGGUCCACACAAUUAUUAAAAAAUUAUCCAAAAAAAGUUUGAUCCCUUUGUUAUUAUUAAGUUUGUUUUUUUUUUUUCAUAUUUUUUAUAAUAAAAAACUAAAAUUAUCAAACAUAUUUUUAAGAAUUUAAAAACAUAAUUGAAAACUUAUUUAUUAUUUCUACCCUUAAAAACUCUAAAAACAAAAAUAUAGCUAACAGCCAUCUAACCUAUCAUGUUCUUCUCCUUUUCUUUUCUUUUCUUUUUUCCUUUUUUUUUUCUCCAAUUUCCAUGUAGAAUGGACAAAUAAUUUUCAGAAGGAAAAUAUAGAAUAUGAUACUGUGGUAUAAAAAGCAACCUAUUUUUAGGUUUAGUAUUAAUCAAGUGAGAAAAAAAAAAAGAAGAAAUUUAAAAUUUCUUAUUUCAUUUAAUAUUACAACAAAAAAAAAGUGGCAUUUGUGUGUGUUAAAGCACUACCAAUCUUGUCAUUACACUAUAAUUAUUUUUUAUUUUCUUUCAACUUACAUCUAUAUUUAAAGAUAUUUUAUGUAACUUAUGUUUACAUUUAAGGAUAUCUCAUAUAUAAUAUUAGCGUAAGGAAAAGUUGUCUAGCUUGAUCCUGAUCCUUAUCUUAUUGGGAUCCCAAAAUUUGAUUUGAUCUCCAAUUACAAUUAUAGAACAAUAACACCAUGGUAGCUGCUGUAUUCCUUUGCUACACAGAAUAGAAGCUUCUCUACAACACUACCCAUUUUCUCUAGCUAAAUUCAUUUUAUUAAACAUUUUUAUAAAUAAAAUAACAUUUCUGACAUUCCAUAAUUUCUACGUUCUUGAGCCAAAUUUAGGAAUGAAUCAUUCUUGGACAACCUCGAUCCCGUGGGGUUUGGUUUUGGAAGCCAAAAGUCCUAUCUCUGUUGCCCUUUAGGGCUCUUGUAUAUUUAGUGUCUCAAAAUUUUGUCACUUUGAUAAACUACAGUAAUUUUUAUCUUAUCAACUUAUGAACUCGGACCAAUAGAGAGCUAGAGCCACUUUGCAUAUAUCAAUAAAUAAAAAAAGUUAAAUAGUCAAAUUUGUACAUCUAGUUAUUAAUUAAAAUUAAAAUAAUAAUCAUUUUUUGACUAAAAUAAUAAGAGAAUAAAACAAGUGUGAGUAAGUCAUUAAAAAAAUUAUAAUCAAUUUCUUCAACUCAAAGCAAAUUAAUAAAUAAACCCAACAACAGGGGACAAACAAAUUGGUGGUGUUCCCAAAGCCUCCAUAUUUCAAUGGUGGGAGAGUUUUUCUAGCUUUGACUUCACUUUUCAAACUUGUAACUUCUUUAUUGAUGAUAUGGAGGUACUGGUGGGAGUAAUUAAAAUUAUUUAUUUAUUUUUUUAGGGGUAAUUAUGUUUUGGAUCUAGUUGAGUCCAAAAAUUAAGUUUUAGUCCAUAUAAAUUCACCAUUUAAAUCGAAGAUCUAGAUAAAGUGUGAAAAUUGAGAAGAAUGAUAUAAAUUUUUUAUCUUUCCAAAAAUGAUCUUUAUUGACUAUGAAAAAAAAGAGAGUAAAAAAACAUUAAUUUAAAUUUUAUUCCUUUUGCAAACCUCAAUAAAAUUUAAUUUAAUUUAGUGAUUUGAAAAAAAAAAACCAUUUUCCAAAAAAAUAAAAAUAAAUUAUUAUUAUUAUUAUUUAAAAACCAAACAUCUUGGAAAAUAUAUAUUUUUCAAAUUGUGUAUAUAAAAAAUAACUAAAAAUAUGUCAAAUUUAUUUUUUUUAAAUUAUAUAUUUUUAGAAUAUAUAUAUAUAUAUAUUAAAUUAGUUUUCUAAAAAUAAUAAAUUUUCAAAAUAAUUAUUAAAAAAAAUUUAAGAUCAAAAAUUUGUCACACAUUAUGAUAGAAAAUAUUCAAAAUAGUUUUGAAGGGUAUAUUGGUCUCUUUAUAUUUUAUAUCAUUCCCCUCAAUUAUACAAUUUUUAUAGGCUAAAUUUUAAUUUUUGGGUCCAGAUCCAAAACACAAUUGUGCUGCUUUUAGCUAGGGUGGACCAAUUUAACUACUAUAUAUUUUUUAGAAAAGAGCAAGCAUCUCUUGUUUUUAACCUAUAUGUCAACGGUAUGGUCCAUUAUCUAUGUUCAAUGAAAACAUGGUAGUGGACGUGACCACCUUGCCAUGGUGGUGGUUGAAGCAGUAGAGCUGGUGGAAGCUUAAAGAAGAAGAAACCAGCUGGGGAAAAUGAGGGCAGAGAGAGGCCGUUGGCGGAAAAGAAAAAAGGAGGUUUGGAUGAGAGGUUUUCAAGGACAACUAUGUAGUAGUCUGGGGGGUGGUACCAACAUAUUUUGAGAGCAAGGAAGAAAAGAGUUGCAAAAAAGGAAAAACAAAGUUGCAAAAACAAGGGAGGAGGGUGAUUGAUUGGUUUUUUGGAGGAGAAAGGAUAGCUGGAAGCCGAUAUUCCACAAGUCCGGAGAGGAGUCUUCCAAAGAUAAUCCCAAAAGAAACAGCCCUCCAAGCCCUCAACACCAUCAUCCAGCUCCACUUCAAGAAGACCUUGGAGAAGAAAAGAGCUAUCGACCUCCAAAAGAAGGAGCAUUGGAAGCUCUUUCAGCUCUUCUUCAUCUUCCUCUCUCUCGUCUUCCUCGAUCAGACCUAGUCCCUACACUUCUAGUGUCGCCACUACUGGGUCCCAAUCACUCUCCUCUCCUUAGCCCACCUCAUCUUCUAUGUCUUUGUCGUUCAUACCCUUCCUCCGCUGCAUCAAUGGCUUCAAGUACCAGCGCCGUUGUUGUUGAGGCCUCGCGUCCCUGGUGAUCCACGUAGUUGCCAAAUGGAUGGGCGCACGAUCUCAACCAAUAUAGAUUCUUGAUUCAGUCGUUCUACCUGCAAAAGGCGUCCGGACGGGGUGUCCGGACGCACCCUCCGAUGGUUUUGUCAGCCAUGGUUAGAGAUAGAGAUAAAUCAGUUGGCCUUUUACUAGGUAUAUCCAGCUUACCUUCCCCUUUGUGUGAAGGUUUGUAUAUAUAGUUUCAGAAGCUUUGUUCCCCUCUUUAAUGGUGGGGAGAUAUUCUGUGUUGUCAUGAUGACAUUAGGUGGUGGCAGGGCCAUCAUCACCCUACAGGCGGCUGAUAGAGAUCGUGGUAGGUGAUGCGGCUGUCAGAGAUCGUGGUAGGUGAUGCGGCUGUCAGAGAUCGUGGUAGGUGAUCGUGGGAAGUGACUUGUUGUCACUUCAUCUUGUCAUUUCACUCUGCAGGUGGCGGAACGUGGGCCAUGGCAGGCUGUUGUGAUAACGUGCAAGACUUGCUUACUUCAGUCAAUGAUCUGGGCAAACGUAUCCGGAUGGCCUAUGUUAGUCGUCCGGAUGUUAUGUUUAUGAGUGUCGUGUGCCUCUCCUUGAGGUAGUCCGGAUAGGAGAAGCGCGCCACGUGCAUUCUUAGGGAAAUCCGGAUGAGGAUGAUCCGGAUGAUAAUGCGUGCCACGUGUCGCCAUGAGGUGUGUGGCAUGUGUUUUCAGGAGGAGGGGUCCCUACAAUGCCCCCCUUUUUAACUUGCCUAUUUUGCCUGAGCAAAAAAUGGGCGGGUUAAAAAUAAUUGGUUUUCGAAAUUGUGGCUACUUUUUGCGCUUAUUGGGCCACGUGUCGAGCGGGGAUGAAGAGAGAGAGAAGUAUUUAUGAUGAGCCGUCGUCUCUGUGUAUUCCCAGGCAACAUGUCGUUUCAAUGAUAGCGUAGCUGAUCGUUUGGUAUACCGAGGGGCUGUCCCCCUAUAAAUAGCAUACUAUGCCUUCUGUUGCAUUUUUCCUACUGCGUUUUUUCCUGAGAGUGUUUCUUCUUCUACCUUCUGUGUUUCUCUCUUGUUUUCUGAGUGAAGCCCUAGAGUUUCCUACCGGUGAUUUUUGCGUCUUGUCGGUGACUGUAUUGCGGAUUUCGACCCUAUUAUUCCAGAUCUACACUUGGUACGUGCAUUGUUUUUGUUUUUGUUUUUGUUUUUUUUUUUUUUUUGCGUUUUUUUGUUGGUUUGUUUCUGGUUUCUAGGGUUUUGUUGAGGGUGUUUUGACUGUUGGUACCUCUUUCAUGCAGUUUCCAUUUCAGUUUCAGGCUAGAAAAUGUCUGCAAACAAGAAAGUUGUUUCGUCUGGCCCGAUCGGUGAUGCUCCUGAGAAAUCUGUAGAUAAAAUGAGUGUAAAGGAGUUUCGGGAACGUUUCUGCAUCCCAAAUGGCGUGCUUGUGGAAUUUCUGGACGAGGAGGAGGUCGUAUCUACUGAGAAAGCUGAAGGUCGUGCCAUCACCUUCUCAAAGGAGCAAUUCAAUGCCGGGCUUCGGUUCCUUCUCCCAGUGCUGUUCAAAGAAUUCCUUCAUUUUACCCAGAUCCCACCAGCCUUCAUUCACCCCAAUACAGUCCGGGUGCUGAUGGGAUGCAACAUUCUAAACAUGCCGUUCAACCUUGAUCUCUCGCUGCUGGAGGUUCUUUUUGUUUACUCCCUGAAGAAGGGAAAAAAUGAUAUCUUUAGUAUGGCUGCCUAUCUGCCCUCGCUUCAAUUGGUGACUGAGCUGCCGGAUUCGACGAAAGGAGGGAUGAAGGGGUAUGUGGUGGUCCGGGGUGCUUGGGCGGGGCUAUUGGAGCAUCCGGAGAGGCCUUUUUCUCCAAACUACUCAUUGGUGCUUUCGGGUGAGUCAACUUUACGGGUUUUGUCCGGCACUUAUCUUGUUGUCCUUCUUGCUGGUUUUAUCAGAUGGCAUAAUUAUCUUUGAUUUGUUGAUAAUGCAGGUUCGGACAAAGAGGGGCCACGUAGUUGAGUGGGUAGAGAAAGCGUCGUUUGUUCGAUUGAACAAGUUGUUCGAGAUUACUGUCGCCGAGAGGCAGUAUGUGACGCUGCUUACCGCGCGGAACCUGAUGGCUGUUGUCCGGGAGUCUUGUGAGUAUAUCAUCAAUAUUCUCCCCAGGAAGCUGCCAAAGAAGGUAGUGCCUGGGGAGCAUUAUAUUCUGAAAGACCUCCCUUUCUACAAGGAGGUGCAACAGGCGAACGCUGAGAAAUGCCGAGCGCUCCUUGUCGAUCGGGAGAGAAGGAAGAAGGAGGGGACCUUGUGGAAGGCUCCGGCGAAAAAACGGUCUGCGUCCUCUCCUCCUGCUAGAGCUCCAACAAAGAAGAAAAAGAAGACUUCAAAUAAGGGGAAGGAAGUGAAACUCCCCACUCCUCCAAAGGAGUUCGUGAUCCCUCCUAUUACUUAUGAGAAGGAGGUAACAAUAAAGGAGCCGGAGAAUCCCCUUCCGCCCUCUAUUUCGAGUGGCCCCGGACAUGUCGAGGGUUUAAACCAUUCGGGGCCCUCUUUGUCAGCUGCCGCCCGCUUGGCUAUUUUGGCCGAAGAAGCUGCGUCAAUAAAUACACCCGGCUCUCCCCAUCCGGAUGUGGAUGCAGGCGAGGCCGUUUGUGCAGAUGCGUCACCUCUUAUGGCGACCCCAAUGGAGGAAAUGAGGGCAGAAAGCCAGAGUCUGCCUUUAGUCGGGCCAAGCCUUCCUGCCCUUCUACCAGUGAAGGGGUCAGCUUCAAGGAGGUCGAGUUCGGCGCGAAACCUAAAGUCCGGCCUCAUCGGGCGGCUUCAAGAUCGAUUCCAGGAAACCAUCGAAGUCAGCUGCUCGUCCGUCCAGGAUGACCAUCCGGAGGGGAGCGAGACGGAGAUGGCAACUGAGACCCCAGCCGUCCCGAUGGUGGUCCCGGAUGAGGGUACGGCCGGAGAGACCCAUCCGGUUGUAAAUGAGGGGGCCCCGGAUCCGGAGGAGGAGUUAUUCUCUAACGCCUCAUCAGGGGGGGAUCUUGUUGAUGAUGCGGCUUGCAUCUCUGCUAGCCCUUUUAGCUAUGCGGAGUUGGAAAAGAAGCUGAAACAGAUUCCACCCGGCUCGACCACUGCCAUGCCUUCAGCAAAGAUGUUCGAAGUGGUGGAAACGGUAUAGUGUAUUUCUUGAUUGUCUUUUGCCAUAUUGAUGUGUUUAUGGUAUGGUGUGUAACUCUGUUUUUCUUGUUUGUGUGUUUGCCUGUAGCUGGUGAGUGGUCUUCGCGGCAUGGUCCAGCAACAUGACCUAUUCACUGACCUGCUGCGGACCGCUGAUUACAUGAAGGCUUUUGCCUCUCAGCGUAAAAACAGUGAAAAUUAGCUGCGCUUGAGAUUGGAAGAAGCCGAAGCCAGUUUAUCCACUGCAUGGGGAGACAACGAGGCUUUCCGGGCGGAUCUAGCUGAGGCAAGGAGCCGGGAGGAGUCGAUGGAUGCCCGCUUGCAUGAGGCGGAGGAUGAGGUGGCUCUCCUGAGGGAGGAGGUGAGGCAACUCCGGACGGAGGUAUCCAUUGAGAAGAAACAAAAGGAAGAUUUGUAGCUGCGUUUAUCAGCGCAAAAAGAAGAGCUAGAGGGUAAGUUUGCUGCAGAGAGGGAGGAGCUUGAAGCGGACUAUCAGAGGCAAGUUGAUGAUAUGUUCUUCUUCGGCUAUCGCUGCUGUAUGAAGAAACAUGGCAUUAAGCGAGAUGUCCCUUCAAUUCCUCCGGGUGAAGAGAAGAAGCUCCUUGACAAGCCUGCUCCCUGAUAGCUUUUCUUUUUGUAAUCUUUUGCUGCUAUCUUCUUUCUGUAUUUUUGUAGUCUGGAGGACCCUUUGUACGCAACUUCAUAAAUAUCAAUAAAACAUACAUUUUGACAUUUUGUACUUGUCUUUUUAUUGAUAAUACUGUUUUAAAUUCGACACAUUCCAUGGUCUGAGUAAUGGAGUUCUGUCUAGCUUUUGUAGGUGAUAAGCUCCACUUUCACUUGACUUAGACACUAUAUAGGGUCCUUCCCAGUUGGCUUGAAAUUUCCCUGCUCCUGUUUCGGCAAUAUUUUCAAAAACUUUUCUAAGGACCAGCGUACCAUUUUUGAAGCUUCUGGGCCUUACUUUGCGAUUGUAAUGAGCGGAUGCCCUUUGCUGAUAGUCUGCCAUCCGGAUGGCUGCGCUUUCCCUUACUUCAUCUGCCCAGUCCAAGUUUCUUCCUAACUCCGCGUUUGCAUCAUCCUGCUUUGCUGCCUCAGUCCGGAUAGUGGGUAACCCUAUCUCGGUAGGAAUGACGGCGUCCAUUCCAUAUGCGAGGGCGAAUGGAGUGUUUCCUAUUGGCCGCCCGAGUAUGGUUCGAUAGGCCCACAGGACGCCGGGUAACUCUUCCACCCACUUUCCUUUGGCUUGCUCAAGCCUUUUCUUUAAGGCAGUGAUUAGCGUUUUGUUUGUGGCUUCUGCUUGCCUGUUACUUUGAGGAUAACGUGGUGUGGAGUAUGAAUUUCGGAUGUUUAGUUCUGAACAGAAAUUCCGGAAUGCGAUGCUAUCAAAUUGUGGACCGUUGUCGGCUAUAAUGUUUUGAGGGAUUCCAAAGCGGCAGAUGAUGUUUUUCCAUACGAAUUUGGUGACAUCUUUGUCUUUGAUGCUUGCAUAUGCUUCAGCUUCCACCCACUUACUGAAGUAAUCCGUGGUGACAAGUAGGAAUUUUUUCUGGGCAGGUGCGGCCGGGAGGGGUCCCACUAUGUCCAUGCCCCAUUGUGCGAAAGGCCAUGGGCCUGAGAUUGGCUUCAAUGUUUCUGAUGGCAUAUGUGGGAUGGGAGCAUGCCUUUGACAUUUAUCACAUUUUUUGACAUAGGUCGUUGCAUCUUUCUUCAUUGUAGGCCAGUAAUAUCCUUGCGAAUGGGCCCUAUGCACUAGAGAUCGUCCUCCAGAAUGAUUUCCACAUACUCCCUCGUGCAACUUAGCUAAAACGUACAGGGCCUCUGAGUGGUUUAGACACCUAAGGUAGGGACCUGUGAAGGAUCGCUUGUACAGGUGCCCCCCAAUCAGGGUAAAACGGGCGGCUUGUACCCGGAUCUUGUGUGCCUUUUUGGCGUCCUCGGUCAGAGUGCCUGUCCGGAGGUAUUUUACAAUGUCGCUCGUCCAUUCUUGGCCGUCCGGUUGGCUUGCCUCAAUGGCGUUGCAAGUGGUGGUUUUCGCCACAGAAGAGUUGGCUUGCACAUGUAUAGGCAAAAAUAUGGUUUCUUUGAUUGGAAGGGAGGCAGCUAUGCUUGCCAAGGCGUCGGCGCGUCCAUUUUCGGUUUGUCUGAUUUUUUCGAUCGUCCAUUCGGAGAAUUGUUGUAAAGUGUUUCGUACCUUAGCCAGGUAUUGCGCCAUGCGCUCAUCCUUAGCUUCAUAUUCCUUCUAGACGUGUCUAACCACAAGUUAAGAAUCGCUAUAGACACGGAUUUUGGAGACGGAUAGAGCCAGGGCGAGGUCCAAUCCGGAUAGAAUGGCCUCAUAUUCUGCUUCAUUGUUAGAUGCAGGGAAUCCCAGCCGGAUGGCUUGCUCCAGGUGUUCCCCUGUUGGGGAUUGUAGCAGAAGCCCGACUCCGGACCCUGAUGAUCGUGAGACUCCAUCAACUUGCAAAGUCCACCAUUCGUUUUUACUUUGUUCCUGGCGUUGGCUAGGCCUUCGGGAGUAUUCCAGCACAAAGUUAGCCAUUACUUGGCCUUUCAUGGACAAUCUGGGUUGGAACUCGAUUCCAAAUUCGCUUAAUUCGAUAGCCCAUUGAAGCAUUCUCCAGGUUAAGUCUGGUUUGUGCAGAAUGUUGCGAAGGGGUUGGUCGGUCAGCACGACCACCGGAUGGGCUUGGAAAUAGGGGCGGAGCUUUUGGGCAGCGCUUCGAAGGGUUAAGGCUGUUAGCUCCAUUUUUUAAUACCUGGUUUCUAUGUCCGCCAAUGCUCUGCUGACGUAGUAGAUAGGCUUCUGCUCCUUAGGUGAGGGGCAACGAAAUAGAACAACGUUGAUUGCCCACUCCGAUACGGCCAGAUACAUGUAUAAUUUUUCUUUUGGGAUGGGGUUGUUCAGGAUGGGCAGCUGCAUAAGACAAUGUUUAAUCUUUUCAAAAGCGGUUUGACAGUUGUCCGUCCAUCCGUUUGUUCCAACUUUUCGUAUUGCCAAGAAGAAGGGUUGCAAUUCAUCAAUGAAGCGGGCUAUAAAACGCCCUAGUGCGACGAGCUUGCCUGUGAGUCGUUGUAACUCCUUCUUGGUCCUAGGUGGUGGUGUUUCUAUGACUGCCUUGACUUGAUCCGGACUGACCUCUAUGCCUCUUUGGCUGACCAUAAACCCCAAGAAUUUGCCAGCGCUUAUGCCAAAGGCGCAUUUAGAAUGAUUCAGCUUCAUGCCAUAUUUCCUCAAGAGGUGAAAAACUUCUUGUAAGUGAAGGACAUGCUCGUCUCGGGUUUUGCUUUUAACCACUAUAUCGUCAAUAUAUACCUCUACCGUGUGGCCUAUCAAAGGUUUGAAGAUCUUUGUCAUCAGUCUUUGAUAAGUGGCGCCAGCGUUUUUGAGCACGAAUGGCAUGACUCUGUAGCAAUAAAGGUCAUGUGGCGUUAUGAAUGCUGUUUUUUCCUCGUCAACCGAGGACAUGGGGAUCUGAUGAUAUCCGGAGAAGGCAUUCAAGAAAGAGAGCAUCCCUUGCCCAGCAGUAGAAUCCACGAUUUGAUCUAUUCGUGGCAAAGGGAAACUGUCUUUUAGACAUGCUUUAUUGAGAUUGGUGUAAUCGACGCAUACCAGCCAUUUUCCUUCUUUUUUGGGUACCACCACUACGUUUGCCAACCAGUCCGGAUAAUCUACUUCUUUGAUGAAUCCGGCUUCUAGCAAUUUGUCAAUCUUAAUCCGGAUGAUUUUUUGUCUGUCCGAGUGGAAACGUCUAACCUUCUACCGGAUGGGUCUGGUUGUUGGCAAGACGUUAAGUUUAUGGGAGGUAAUUGAGGGAUCAAUUCCCCUCAUAUCAUAAUGUGUCCAUGCGAAGAUGUCAUAGUUUUGUCUGAGGGCGUUCUACAUGUUCUGGGUCUCUUCUGGCGUCAUGAGGGAACUGAUGUUCGUGAGGUGAGUACUUUCCUCUGAAAUUUGGAUUGCUUGUAAGGGAUCUGCUGUCGGGGGAUCUUUGUCCACCGGAUCCAAUAAUUGCUAUUGGUCACGUGGAUUGCUGGGCUCAGGGAGGGAUGCAUCCUCCUGGCUGGUCCCUGCUUCUCGUGCUAUCUGGUAGUAUUGGCGAGCAGCUAACUGGCUGCCAUAUAAGUCAAUUUGCCCAUCGUUGGUGAGGAAACUCACCAUUUGAUGAUAUGUAGAGGGGAUGGCUUUCAUGUAGUGUAGCCAUGUGCGCCCCAAGAUGAUAUUGAAGGGUGAUAACUCUUGUACCACCGAGAAUUGUACGUUGAAAGUAACUGGGCCAGUUUGGACCGAUAGUACAAUGUCUCCCAAAGACGUAGUUGAUGACCCGUUGAAUCCGGAUAGGAUUCGUUCAGGGUUUUCGAGGACUGUGAGACUGUGUCCCAUGUAGUUAACGACCGAUGCUUAUACAAGACCGACCGAGCUGCCUGGGUCAACCAAGAUGCGUCUCACAUCGAAGUCUCCUAUCUCUAGGGACAAGAUGAGGGCCUCGCGAUGUGGCUGCAGUGUCCGGGUGGGGUCUACUGGUGGGAAAAUGAUUGUCCCAUCUAUGGGGCGAGGGCCCCCUCCAGUUAAUCCAGGCCGGAUGGAGUUGAUACGUUCGCGUACUGACGCGGCCCGCAACAAUUUCUGUCUCUUUCGUUUGGAGUCAUAUUCUUCGUCAGAUGGGCCUCCGUUAAUGUAGUUUAUAACGGCCUUGGUGGCGGCUGGGGCUCUGGGGGCUCCAGAGUUGUGAUUUUGGGAAGCGUCUCUUCCUCCAGCAUCUGAGCGGAGGUAUUGCUUUAAAUGUCCCGCCUUAAUGAGCUUUUCGACCAAAUAAUGGAGGCACCUGCAUGUCUCUGUUGUGUGAUCGUGUUCCUUGUGGAAGGCACACCUCUUGCUAUGAUAUCUUUUGGAUGGGUCCGUUCCUUGGGGUCUGGGCCACCUGAAAUCAGAUAAGCCUUGGAUCAUAGGGAGAAGUUUUUCAUAUGAUAUGGAAAAAGGCGUGAGAGGCGGCCUAUCCGGGCGACUCGGCCCUUCCUGCCUUCGAUCGGACGACCUUGGCCAGUCCGGAGGUUUAGCAUUUCUUUCCGUGCCACCUCUAGAUGCCUGUCCGGCAACCAAGACUUGCUGGGUGGCUGCCCGUACGUCAUCUUCGAGCAUCGAAUAUUUGUUGGCACGUCUGAACAAGUCGUCCAUCUAUGAGGUUUUUUGGCUAGCGAUUCGAAAAAUGGGGUGCCUGGACAGAUGCUUCGCUUGAAGAUCUGCAGGACAGCAUCCAUGUUGCAAGCCUCUACCUGAAGUACGGCUUGACCAAAUCGCUUCACGAACUCCCUUAAGGAUUCGUUAUCCUGCAUUUUUAUGUUUUGCAGAGUGCUAAUGUUCUGUUUGUGUCGGGCGGAGCACAAGUAUUGUCCCACGAAAGCUUCGGACAGGUCCCUGAAAUUGCCAACAGAGUCGGGAGGUAGACGAUGAAACCAUGAAAGGGCCUGUCCUUGUAAGCUGGCGGGGAAUACUUUGCAUAGCAGCGCAUCGUUGCCAAUAUCGAGUGUCAUGAGCUGUCGAUAAUGCAUGAUAUGAUCGAAGGGGUCGUUGGACCCAUCGUAUGUGGAGAAUUUUGGUACGAGGAAUCCCCUUGGGGGCUCGUAAUGAAUGAUAUGAGAGCAGAAGGGCGUGGAGAGCAUGUCGUCCAGCCUUUUGCUGAUAGAGCCCAUGGGUGACUCGUUUGGGAGGUUUCUCCCAGCUUGUUGUACCGCUAGGUGCGAGUGAACGUUCCGCACCAUGGUGGUGACCAUAGGGUCAUGGUGCGGGAGCACGUUCUGCACCAUGGGGGUGACCACAGGGUCAGGGCGUGCUGCCUAGGUUGUGGCUGCUGGUGGCCUUGGUCUCACAGGCUCUUGUGGGCCUAGUCUUGCGCGCAUUGAAUUUGACAACUGAGACUUUCUAUUACGUUGUCUUUUUGCUGAAAAAUGAGUAGAAUCCGAGCUUUCUUCACGGGGAGCUCGAGGCAUAGCCGUAUGUGGCUCAUGGGGCCUCACGUUGCAUGCUUCUGGGAUAGCUCCUGCUGUUCCAGGAUAUAUUGAUUCUAGUUCUGGCCUUGAGUUUGCUACUUGGCCUCUCGAAUGCUGACGACGAGGAGGCCCUGAUGUUGAAGCCUGGAUGCGUAAUAUCGCGUUUUCUUCUCUUAAUCUUUCUGUCUCCUGGAGGAGAGCUUUCAGUUGUCGUUCGCUUGCCAACUGUCUUCUUUCGAUGGCUUGAUGCCAUUCAGAAUUAUCUUCCUCUCCCUUACCAGAUGAACGACUUUGGGAAGGUGUGGCCAUAUUUGGUAGUGACUGAAUCAGUGAAAAAUUUCCCACAGACGGCGCCAAUGUUGAGGCCUCGCGUCCCUGGUGGUCCACGUAGUUGCCAAAUGGAUGGGCGCACAAUCUCAACCAAUAUAGAUUCUUGAUUCAGUCGUUCUACCUGCAAAAGGCGUCCGGACGGGGUGUCCGGACGCACCCUCCGAUGGUUUUGUCAGCCAUGGUUAGAGAUAGAGAUAAAUCAGUUGGCCUUUUACUAGGUAUAACCAGCUUACCUUCCCCUUUGUGUGAAGGUUUGUAUAUAUAGUUUCAGAAGCUUUGUUCCCCUCUUUAAUGGUGGGGAGAUAUUUUGUGUUGUCAUGAUGACACUAGGUGGUGGCAGGGCCAUCAUCACCCUACAGGCGGCUGACAGAGAUCGUGGUAGGUGAUCGUGGGAAGUGACUUGUUGUCAUUUCAUCUUGUCAUUUCACUCUGCAGGUGGCAGAACGUGGGCCAUGGCAGGCUGUUGUGAUAACUUGCAAGACUUGCUUACUUCAGUCAAUGAUCUGGGCAAACGUAUCCGGAUGGCCUAUGUUAGUCGUCCGGAUGCAUUUGUGGAAGUCGUCCGGAUGUUAUGUUUAUGAGUGUCGUGUGCCUCUCCUUGAGGUAGUCCGGAUAGGAGAAGCGCGCCACGUGCAUUCUUAGGGAAAUUCGGAUGAGGAUGAUCCGGAUGAUAAUGCGUGCCACGUGUCGCCAUGAGGUGUGUGGCAUGUGUUUUCAGGAGGAGGGGUCCCUACAGUUGCCACAAGCUCACUCUUAGCCUCUCCACUAAGCACCUCUGGUAGAUCAAGAUGAGGGCCAGUAGUGGAGGAUGAGGAGAUUGAAAAGCUUCUGGAGCCCUUCUCAAAAGAGCAACCGUUGGCUUUGUUUCAGGAGGCAAUGGAAAAGUACCCGGACUUCGUUAAUAGCAUCUAGAGACUCGCCAACGUCGACCCGGCUCACCGAAAAAUCUUCGUCCACGGCAUGGGAUGGGAUACACCUUUAUUCUGUUCAAGCACCGAAACGACGCUCACAAGGCACUGAAGCAGCCAUAAAAGAAGAUUGGAAAUCGAAUGACCUCAUGCUAGCUAGCCUCUACCGGCCUCGUUCGAACGCCGCCACCGGUGGUAUCUCCGGUGCCUGAGUAUACUCAAAGAAAGUUUUUUUUUUUUUUUGUGAGCAAUGUUUCUGCAGAGAUCGAUUCUCAGAAGCUACUAGAGUUCUUUGCAAAGUUUGUGGAAUUUUUUUAGGGUCACACAUUGCAUUGCUAGAAGGCAAUUGAUGGGCCAAGCCAAAAAAGCCUUUCCACCAUCACCACCAACAAAACCUACACCACUUUUCAUCCUUUUUUAUUCUUUAUAUUUUGAUAUCAAAGUUUCAAUUUUCAAAACUCAAAUUCUCAACUAAUUCUCCAAAAUUUCUAUUUUCAAAUAAUUUUCCAAAAUUCCAAUUUUCAAAUUUAAUUAUCGAAACUCCGUUUUCAAAUAAUUUUCAAAUUUAAUUUUUAAAAAUUUCAUUCUCAAAUAAUUCUUCAAAAUUCCAAUUUUCAAAACUUCAAUUUUCAAAUAAUUUUCCAAAAUUCUCAUUUUCAAAUUUAAUUUUCAAAAGUUCCAUUUUCAAAUACUUUUCCAAAUUUCCAAUUUUCAAAUUUAAUUUUCAAAACUCUCAUUUUCAAAUAAUUUUUCAAAAUUCCAAAUUUCAAAAUUCCCAUUUUCAAAAUUUUUUUUUAUUUAAAUUCCAAUUUUUAAAUUUAAUUUUUAAGAUUUCAAUUUUCAAAUAAUUUUCAAAACUCUAGUUUUCGUUCAAAUAAUAUUAAUUCCACUUCAAUUUUCAAAUAUUUUUAAUUUUACAACUUUUCAUCCUUUAUUAGGGUUUAGGUAAAAAAAAUCUUGUUUUGAAUAAACUUGCUACAUUUCACUUCAGGUAAGUACUUUUACAAAUUUUCUUUGAUUUUCAAAUAAUAUUUUCUUUCUCUUUAUUUUAAAUAAGCAUGAAUAUGAUUUUAAAUAAGCACGAACGUAGGUUUGGUUUUUCGAAGAUCAUAUUUUCCAAAUAAGAAGUCACAUUUACAGUUUUCUUUCUUAUUUUGUUUUCCCUUAAAAAAAAUAAAACAAAAAUAAGUGGUGACUCCAAGUCUUUUCUAAAAAUCAUAAAUUUUUACAAAUAAAUAAAAAAUGAGUUUUGCUAUCGAGUGGGAAUGCAUCGUGCAAAAUACAAGGUCCACAUAAUACUAAGUUACUUUACUAAGAUAUUGAAUGCACUUUAAAUAUUCCAUUAAGUCAUCUUUAUCAAUGUUGUUGAUUAUGAACUUAUAUUUUUUUUAAUUAUUAUUAUGAAAUGCUAAAUUAAUUAUUACAUUUUAAAAUCUAUAAAAUUAAGUAUGAACGUGUAUAUUUUAAAAUCUAUAGAAUUAAUUAUUAUAUAUUUUUCUUAUUUUAUGUAUUUAAGAUAAAAAUAUUCAAAAUUAAUAAUUUAAAUUGUCGUGCACCACCUUCUCUAAAACCCUAGGGGUAUGUGCCCUUUUAUAGGCUUUCAAGCUUGGUCUUCAUCGACCCUCUCACAUGGUGGACAUCUAAGCUCUAGGCAAAAAGUAAGCAAAUGGAGGUAGUAAAGUUGACCCUUGUCCAAAAUCAAAACAAGGCCAAAAUGAGAAUGAUGAGAGCCAAAAAAAUAAUAAAUAAAUAAAUAAACCCAAACCAAUAUAAAUAAGCCCAAAACAAACAAAGCCUAAACCCGAAAAAUAAAAUAAACUAGGCCCAAAAUCCAAUAUACAAAGCCCAAACUCAAAACAAAUAUGAUAGCCCAAGGCUACAAAUACAUCUCAGAGCAAUAACCGAAGUUCAAAAUAAUAUCCAAGAACCCCAAUACCCAUAAACAUGAAUCAAUAAAUAAAUCCAAAUCAAAGCCUAUUGUGGACUAGCAUUUUUCAUUCAAUGCAUCCUUAGUAAAAAAUGACGAGACUUACUAUUUGACUUACUAUUUAGCGAAAAACUGAUUUUUAUUAUAAAAAAAAUAUAAUUGUCACUUAUUUUUGUUUAUUUAUUGAAGGGAAAACAAAAUAAAAAAUAAAACCCUAAAAAUAACUUUUUAUUUUGAAAAGUCAAGUUACCUAUUGGGAAGUUAACAUAAGGUAACACCUCUUUAAACACUAAGACAGAUCUCUACUAAUCAAAUUGAAAUUACUAUGACAAUUAGUCAAUUAAUUAAUCAUGAAUACCAAGAAGCUAAGCGUAUAUCAAAAGCAAAGUAUAGCAAAAGGCUUCUCGAACAAGGCAUGCAUAUCAAAGAAUCAAAUAAAUGAGAAGGAAAUGAAACUAUCUCAAACAAUGAACCAAGUGUUUUCAAGUAACAAUUGGGUUAGCUCACAAAUAAUAAUAAGGAACCAUAAGCUAGGCCUCAUAAUGAAUGUAACAUAUGCAUAUCUCAACUCAUGAAGUAAAAAAAUGAUAUGGUGUGAACAAGAGGAAACAGGAUACAAUAAAACAUGUGGGUUGCCCCCUCGUUCGACAUCAUUCCAUGAAAACAAUGUCGUUCUAUGAACGGAGCAGAGGAUCGCUUGCACAUGGCACUAGUGACGAAGGAGUCGGUGGAAAACCGGCGCGGACCAAAGUCGGGAGGCAUAUUUUUCAUUUCUUUUUUUCUUUUUAAUAAUGAGGAGAAUCUGGUAAUUAUGAAUAAUUGGACAGGUGGAGCCUCGGAAUGAAGCAUGUCAGAGACCUCUAUUUCCACGAGGAUACACAGGGAUAUAGUUUUGAAGAAAAGAGCCAUCACCCUUAUCUUGGUCAUCGCAAAUUGUAUAUAGAUGUGGCCAAACAGAUUCAUUCUAGCGUAAACCUUACAAUGGCAAUAGCCAUCACCCUCAUAGGCCAAGCCUUGAUCUCUCUCGUUUGGUUUUGGAAGCCAAAAGUCCAAUCUCUUUUAUCCUUUGGGCCUCUUAUAUAUGGAGAGAGAGAGAUUGAGGCUGUGUCGAAGCUUGUAGUACAAGUUGCAAAUGACAUAUUGAUCCUGCAGUUUUUAGUUAGUAUAGUCACCACCCAUGGCUUGCGUUUUUAUUUUUAUUUAUGAGAGAGCAGAAGCUUUACUGUCUCUCUAUGGUGGCGGUUAGCUGCAAAGUGAAGUGCUGUUUUCUUGGUAUCUUUGAUUGCAAGGUAAGUUACAGACUUAUCUGAUGAUUUGUCUAGUAAUUGCUCCGCAAUUUUAGUAUAACCCAAGUAUGCAGCACAGUGAAGGGGAGACCACCCAUUUUCAUCAACUUCUUUUGUUAGAUCUGGCUUCCAUUCCAAUAACUUCGCUAUCAUGUCUGAUAAAGAAAUGAACCAACAAAAAAACAGCAGAGAAAAAAAUUUAAGAAAUUCCCUCUAGUAAAGCAUGACCCUUAGAGGUGAUCAUGAUCUCUAACAAUAUAUUGCAUGAGUAACUAACCAUGUAGGAAUCAAGAUUCAAGGAAAGGAUCUGCAUGUGUAUUAUACCUUGGUCCUCACGAAUUACAGCAGCAUGCAAAGCCGUUCUACCCAUUAUGCCACUGUGAGAUGGUGAAGCGCGAGUUUUGUCUAUAAUUAUACACACCAAGUCUCCAUAUCCUCUCUCGGCAGCCAUGUAAAGAGGAGUGUAGCCUGUAAUAUUUGCACCGUAGAUAAACUCAGGGUCUUCCUCAAUCAAUGACACCACAAUCUCUGAAUGAUGAUACCGCACCGCCUCAUGCAAGGCUGUGUCUUUCUCCUUAUUGGUCAUCCUCAACAUCGCCUUGUCUGUUCCAACCCCACUUUCGAUCUCUUGGUGAAGUGCUUUUGUGGCGUUAAGGAGAGCUUUCACAACCACCCCAUGGCCUUCUCUCGCAGCAAGGUGAAGUGGAGUGUCGCCUUUCAGAUUGGGCUGCUGCAGUAGAGGUGAACAUGAAUGAAAGUGAAGGAUCCACUCUACGCAUGC
RNAcentral lists this long non-coding RNA (20718 nucleotides) under Vitis vinifera (wine grape). RNAcentral's name for it is "long non-coding RNA (VVIN_LNC001592)". The record is from RNAcentral. Lineage: Eukaryota; Viridiplantae; Streptophyta; Magnoliopsida; Vitales; Vitaceae.